CAGGAAGUCAGAUUGCAGUCAACUGAAGAAUGAGUGGGCAGAUAUUCCUCUUUUUAGUUGAGCUUAGUAACUCCAGUGGAAACUACUCUUUGCAGAAAUUAGACUGUUUAGAGAAUGAAAGAUAAAACAGUAGCUUGAGGGGCAUUCACGGUUGAAAGAGAGUUCUUUUCUGUUGGAGGAAACAUGGGCAGACUUGUUGCUAAGAGAAAGAAAGCAGUGGAGAGGAAGAGCUGAUUAAUGGAGAAAGAAUUUAGGAGAAUAGGAGGAGAAGAAGUCAAGAGGAAAAGCCACAGGGGUCAGUCUCACAAAACAACAUUCUGCCUGAGGUGAAAGGAAACAGGAUAAUCAAUAAGAACACAGAGACAUUUUGAGGGGUGAUGAGUUGAAGAAGCUCUUGAAGUUUACGCGGGGGAUCUUUACUUUCCAGGGGAGCAAGCAAACGUAGCUGACUGGGGAGCAUCUUCCUUACCCGCUGUGGCAGGUGUGGUAAGUUGCCUCACUCAUCGGGCCCCUGGCCAGCUUAUCGUCCUAUACAGAGCAGUGGUUGGCAGGCUAUGUGCAGCUCAUGGGCCAAAUUUAGCCUACUGCCUGUUUUCCUGUGGCCUGUGAGCUAGAAACGGUUUUCGCAUUUUUUUAUUGUAGUAAAAUAUACAUAACAUAAAAUUUACCAUUUUAAUCAUUUUUAAAUAUACAUUUCAGUGGCGUUAAGUACAUUCACAAUGUUGUGCAACUGUUACUCCUAUCCAUGUCUAGGAUUUUUUCAACAUCCCAAACAGAAGUUCUGUACCCACUAAACAAUAACUCCCCAGGUGCCUCUCAUGCAAGUCCCUGGCAACCUCUAUUCUGCUUUGUCUGUGAAUGCUCCUAUUCUAGGUGUCUCAUAGAAGUGGAAUCAUAAAAUCUUUGUCCUGUUGGUCUGGCUUACUUCACUUAACAUGUUUUCAAAGUUCAUCCAUAUUUAAUAGCAUGUAUCAGAAUUUCAUUCCUUUUCAUGGUAAAUAAUAUUCCAUUGUAUGUAUAUACCAUAUUUUGUUUAUCCAUUCGUCUGUUGAAGAACAUUUGGGUUGUUUCCACCUUUUGGCUAUGGCGAAAAACGCUGCUAUGACCACUGGUGUGCAGGUAUCUGCUGGAGUCCCUGCUUUCAGUUCUUUCGGGUGCACACGCAGGAGUGGAAUUGCUGGAUCACAUGGUAAUUCUAUGUUUAACUUUUUGAGGAACCACUAAACUGUUUUCCAUACUUUGCACCAUUUUCCUGUCCCAGCUGUCACAAGGCUUCUGACUUCCCCCCAUUCUCAACACUUGUUUUUUGUUUUCUAUAGUAACCAUCCCAAUAGUAUCUCUUUGUGGCUUUGAUACGCAUUUCCCCAAAGGCUGCUGAUGUUGAGCACCUUUUCAUGGGCUUAUUGGCUAUUUGUAUAUUUUCUUUGGAAAAAUGUCUCUUCACGUCUUUUGUCCAUUUUUGAAUUGGGCUGUUUUGUUGUCGUUGUUGAGUUUUAGCGAUUCUUUAUAGAUUCUAGAUAUUAAAGAUGUGUGAUUUGCAAAUAUUUUCUCCUGUCUGUGGGUUGCCUUUUUGCUCUGUUCACGGUGUCCUUUUGCGCAAAAGUUCUUAAUUUUGAUGAAAUCCACUUCAUCGAUUUUUUUCCUUUGUUGCUGGUGCUUUUGGUGUUAUAUCCAACAAAUCAUUACCAAACCCAAGUCAUGAGACUGCUUAUGUUUUCUUCUAAGGGGGUCUAUGUUUUAGCUCUUACAUUUAAAUUGCACCCAUUUUGAGGUAGUUUUGUAUAUGCUGUAAGGUAAGGGUCCAGCUUCAUUCUCUGGCAUGUGGAGAGCCUUUUUCCUGGCACCCCUGGUUGAAAAGGCUGUCCUUUUCCCCACUGAACGGUCCUGAUACUCUUACUGAAAAUCUGUUGAUCACAUAUGUGAGGGUUUAUUUCUGGACUCUUCACAUUUUUAGAUGGUUGGAAAAAAUUUUUAAAAACGUAAUAUUUUGUGACAUGUGAAGAUUUUAUGAAAUUCAAAUUUCAGUGCCCAUGAAGAAUGUUUUCUUCGAGCACAUCCUUGCCCAUGGGGUUCUGUGUCGUCUACGCUUGCUCUUCCUUUAUAACCGCAGAGCUAAAUAGUUGUGACAGGGACCAUAUUUCUGCAAAUCCCAAAAUAUUUACUAUCUGGCCCUUUAAAGAAAAUGUUUGCCAACCUCUGUUAUAGAUACAGGAUGAAAAGCUAUAAAAUGUAUUUCCCACACUCUCCCACAGCAAGGAGGCAGACAAGGGACCCAGUUUCUACAAAUCAGAUUUACUCACACAGAUUUGCAUGAGGAAGUGACUCACAGAGGCAGCCACACGCAGGGAGAUUACAUUUUCUGGAACGCCACUCCCCAGACACUUUGAUUUCAUUGCCACUGAAGGAAGAAGAGAUACAUUUAUGAAAAGGGAGCAAAGAGAAGUGCGUGCCAGGACUCUAGCUCGGCCGUCCUGGGAGUAUCUCCAGAGAAGGAAGAUGGUUUCUCACAGAGUGGACACGGCUUGGAGGUGAUGGGGCCGAGCAGGGCGGGACCGAGGUAGCGGUCCAGACCAGACGGAACAAUUCCGAAUUCUCAUCUCAGUUGUUCCUCUUCAUUCAGACCUGCUGCCAUUUCUUCCAGCCAAUGAAUGCACUCUUGAAAAACAAAGUGCUCACACUAGAAUACUUGUUGUAUUGUUAUUUGUAUAUGCUCUCUAUUUUCCCACACAGCCGUGUGGGUGAGCGAUGGCGACAUCACCACAAAAACAGAACUCCUUCCAUGAACUCGGCUGCAGGAAUGCGCACGAUCUUCAGACCCAUGCUUCCUUUCCUAUGUGAUCGAUCUCGCUGUUUUUAGAGACUUUCAAUUUUUCUUCCUAAUUUGAACAUACUGGUCCUAUCGAGAGAAUAUUUCUUUCCCAUGUUCACCUCUCCCAUAAAAAGGAAAAAUUUCCAGUCUUACUCCCUGUGAUAAAAACUGGGAUAGAGAAAUGAAGAAAGUAAUUUAAAAUGGAAUAAAGUAAAAAACACAGACACAUCCUAAAAGCUGCCAAGAUGAUUCUUGAAGAAAUCAGAAUAGAUGGAGCAGUAAGACAGAAGGUAGGUAAGCCAGCACUAAGUGACGGUGAUAGGGGAAGAUAAAAGGUCUCACCAGAGAAAGCACUCUCCGGCCGAGGUCAGAGGGGGUUCACUCUUGAAGUCCACGCCCAGUGACCGCAUCACUGAACCCUCACCUUUCGUAGGCAAAGAAUGGCCUGAGCAGUUCCGGUGCCACAACCAGCCAAUGACAAGCAACAUCAGACAGCUGGGAGAUAAGUAACUGCUCGCCCUUCAUUUUCAACCUACAAUUAGACAAUUGUGGGUGCAAUUAUCUGUGUGCGCAGUUUUGUAACAACAGAUAAUUGUGGCUAAGGAACUACCUGCAUCGUGAAAGGCCCCUUGUAACAAGUUCCUCUUUAAAAUCUAAGCCAGUAUCUAAUUUAUUAGUGCAAAGACACCCAUGACUUCAUCUAAUUACGUUUUUAUACUUUAACGAGAGCUUUCCCUAGCCCAUUUGUGGGCCUCACUGCAGCAUCACCGACUGGCACAGUCGUCAUUAAACUGUCAGUGAGAAAUGCCACGUCAACGAUGGACGAGCCACGGAUCCUAUCCAGACCACACUGGUACUCGACAGCCAGCACAGAAGAGGCGCAAAUGAAGGACCCAAACCUGAGUCUAAUAACGUGCUUCCUGCUUGGAAUAUAAAGAAAUAGUCCAAAGGCACCACGUCCAGCGAUGCCUGGCACAUGGAAGGUGACAAAUAAAAAUGGCAAGUAAUAGGAUAUAUUGGAGUCUAUGAGGAAGCCUAUGGUGUAAACCUAAUUCGGCCUGACCUUGUCUUUCCAAAAGGGCCUGACUGUGGCCAUUGAGCAUGCAUUGUAUAUCUGCUUUAGAUAUUCCCUAUGGCAAGAACAAAGGCCCUUGAGAUAAGGGUGCAACUUCCCUCCCCCUCCCAACGUUGGCUUUUCCUUAAGGAUUAAGCAUCUUUCCUUAGGCUAGGAACUGAUUGCUGCGCUCACCUGUGACCACCCAGCUGGAAACAAUAGACUUGCCUCCUGCCACGCCCACUGCGAGAGCAGACCCACUACCUGCUGUGUCCAUCAAGGGCUGUGCCAACAGGGCAAUCUUGUGACUAUUGUGGGAGGGACAUUUCAAUCAUAUGUGAAACGUCCUGUAUGGGGUUAUAUAACCACUCUGUACACCUCACUUCUUUGGUGCCCUUUCUUCCUUCGGGAAGAAAGGCCCCAGGCCAUGGUCCUCAGAUUUUAGCUCAGAAUAAACUCACCCAAAUUUUCAUUUGUAGAUUGGUUACGGAUUAUUUUCGUCGACAAAGGCACACAGGAGUGCUUCCCGAAUUGCCACUGUGUGAGAAGUCCCCCCUGCACCCCACGCAGUCAGGCCGGCCCUGCUGCAGCCCUCAGGAGCUGUGCUGUUUGUCCCUCUCCCCGCGCUUAGGGGCUGGUGGAGGAGAAGCCAUGUUGCUGUCAUCUUUUCUUCUCCUCAGCGUGUCUCGGUUCUGGUGGCAGAAAACAAACUCAAAUUAGCUGAAGUCAAACAAAACAAAAGGACCGGAUGACAUCUGGGGUUCUUUUUCUGCCCUCGGUCUCCUCAGCAAAGCCACCUCGGCCCUCCGUGGCUUCAGCACCGGCCUAUCCUCUCUCCUGUAGGUGGGUGCCCUCGGUGUGCGAGGCAGAUCGCUGGUGGCUCUUCAGCCUGACUGCCAAGGCCUGAAUCGGCUGUGACACUUACCUAGUGUUGACGAAAAUAAUCCAUAACCAAUCUAUAAAUGAAAAUUUGGAAUGAGUUUAUUCUGAGCUAAAAUGUGAGGACCAUGGCCUGGGGCCUUUCUUCCCAAAGGAAGAAAAGGCACCGAAGAAGUGGGGUGUACAGAGUGGUUAUAUGGGUUGGGAAACACCCAAACAGGGUGUUUCACAUAUGAUUGAAAUGUCCCUUUUACAAUUGUCGCGAGACUGCUCUGUCGGCACAGCGAUUGAUGGAAACAGCAGGUAGGUCUGCUGUCUCGGUGGACACAGCAGGGUGGCAGGUCUGUUGUCUGGAGCUGGGUGGUCACAGGUGAGCUGGAUGGUUAAAGGUGAGCGCAGCCAUCAGUUCCUAGCCUAGGGAGAGAUGCUUAUGCUUAAGGAAAUGCCAAUGUGGGGGCAAGUUGCACCUUUAUCUUAAGGCCAUUUCUUCUUGCCGUAGGAAAUGUUUAAAGCAGAUAUACAAAGCACGCUCAACGGCCACGGUCAGGCCCUUUGGGAAAAAACAAAGUCAGGCCGAAUUAGGUUUACACCAAAUGGCUUCCUCAUAGACUCCAAUAUAUCCUAUUGCUUGCCAUUUCUAUUCGUCACUAGAAAAGCUACUUAGCUGCCUUGAGUCUUAGUUUCCAUAUCAGUAAAAUGGAGAAAAUAAUAGUAAUACUGGUAAAGAAAAAAAAAGAAAGGAAGAAAGAAUAGGCCCCUAGCGACCCCCAUGACAGCAAAGUGGGACUGAAUUACAGCCCCGCUGCGCCCGGGGAGGUGACCUUCAAACUGUCGCCUGAAAUUUCCCAGAAAAGAAGAUGCCUUGGCCUAAAAACAAUCCUUUCUUUUCUUUUGCUAGUGACUUCCCGGCCCCACCCUCCUUCUUAUAAAAUGUCCCAUUUUGUAGGACCCCUCGGACGUCCACCCUUCUCCUUGCUGGACGGCCGGGAUGCUGUCUGGUUCAUGAAUUGCUUAACAAAGACGAUUAGAUCCUCAAUUUACUCGGUUGGAUUUUUUUAACAAUACCUACCUCAUUAGAUGAUUGUAAAGAUUAAAUGAGAUGAUGUGUGUAAGGACUCAGCACAGUGCCUGACACACAGAAUGUGCUCAGUAAGUGUGAGCUUUGUUAAUAUUGGUCUUUCUAAGGAGGAGACAGGGAGGUAGAUGGGUCUGACUACAGACAAUUCUAGACGGAUAACAUCCCAGCUUAGUGACCCCAAAAGAAAGAGGGAACAUUUACAUGCCAGUGUGGAUAACCAUUCCCCAGGAUAAACAAAUUCGGGGAAGGACUUGGAUCAGCUAAGAGCCCGAGUGUUCACUGUGUGCCAGCACCAUAUAGGUGCUCUGCACACGUUGUCUGUCUGUGCAUCGUCAUAACGAAUUUCAGCACAACUCUAUGAGAAGUAAAUAAAUAAAAAAGAAUACAUCAUGCAGAACAUCUUGGAAACACCAGCCCGGGGAAAAGAGAGUCAAAGCUGCAGUCUCAGCUGUGUUUCUGAGGUUGUGCCCACCCAUCCCACGAUAGGGACCCCUGCUCUUCUGAAAUCCCUCCCAAGUUCGGAGGGUCACCUUUGCUGGCCUGCGCAUCUGCUCAGCCUCGGCAUGAAAGUCCACUCUUCACUGGUGAAGGCAGAGCUCCUGAUGCCAGACGAAACCUCAUUUCCUUCUUCCUCCAUCCACUUGCUCUCUGGACUCCAUGUACCGUGUGUCUCUUGUUGGCGCUGGGUCAACACAGGAGCCUGUGAAUGCCUCUUUGGAGAGAAGAAAGUGAGCUGCUCCCUUUGUCCAGCCACUUGGAGGAACCCCAGCAGAGUGGCCAGUCUCCUCCAGUAGCUUAUGGAGAUGCUAAUGCACCUGUUUUUGUUUCUACCUUCUCUCCCCAGGACUCUCUCAACAUUCCCUGAUGAAAAGAGAGCUUGAUAUGUGGUCCCUCUGCCUGACUUCACUGACUCCUUCCUACUGAGCUUCUCUGGUGGGAACUCCCCACCAACCUCCAGAUAGGCCCAUGUAUCUGACUUCCCCUCGAGAUGGGGACCCCUGCUACACGGUAACUAACAUACAGAUAGAGCAUAAUCCAUGCUAUAUUUUUAAUUAUAUCCUUUAAUUAAACCC
This is a long non-coding RNA of Equus caballus (horse), 6893 nucleotides long. NCBI's taxonomy places the organism in Eukaryota, Metazoa, Chordata, Mammalia, Perissodactyla, Equidae. The record is from Ensembl.